GUGGAAUGCUAGUCCAGGAUCCUUCAAAGGGAAAUGACGUGGAUGCAAUUUUUCAUCAAGCCAGGCAACUUGGUGCUGUUGAGAGGCCUCUUGAUCAGCUUCAGGAGCCUCCAAGGUCAACUAGCUUUACUGGAACUGGCAGGUUACUCUCGGGGGAAACUGCACAAUCUACUACUAAUCAGCAACCUGAGGCUGUUGUUCACAACAUUGUUUUCUGGAGUAAUGGUUUUACUGUAAAUGAUGGACCUUUGAGGAGAUUGGAUGAUCCUGAAAAUGCCUCAUUUCUAGAGGUGAUGCUAUUUAAGAUUCUGAUUCCAUUAGUGGCAAAAUAAUUCAGAAAUAUAUAUUAAGGUAGUGUUCCAGGAAAGGCAAAUCCUGAUUUUGGAGGAUUGAGUUUUUGGUGAGCAUUUUUCAGGAAAUAGGGUAAUAUCUUAACAAAUUCCACUUACAUUGUGGUGAAAAUUAUUUAAAUUCUUUCUGAAAUUCAGUAUAUUUUAUUAUAUAAGUAUUUUGUCAGUUGCUUUCAUAAUUUAUUUCCAGACUGUGUAAGAACGGUGCCCCAGAAAUGGUUUUGUUGUGCUUAAUGAUAUUUGCUUCUUUUUAAUGCAGAGCAUAAAAAAAUCCGAGUGUCCCAAAGAGCUUGAACCUGCAGAUAGGAGGUCAUCUGUUAACGUCAACCUCAUAAGGAGGAAUGAGAACUAUCCUGUGAGGUUUCUAUCUGAGUUUUUUCAUUUAUCUCUGUCCGAUUUAUGUUAAACCGCACUGUAUUUUGUUGACAUUGUUUACUAGUUUUGGAGCUUUUUAACUCUGACAUUUUGAAAUGCAAUACGGGUCUUUUGUUAUGCAUAAUUUCUUGAGUCUGAAAUCAAACACGCCCAGUGUGUAAAUUAUAAGUGCAUUUGGUCAUUGCUUACAGGAACCCGAAAGGCAGCAUGUUCCAUUUCAGGGAGUGGGGAGAACACUUGGAAGCAGCUCUACAUCAGUGGCUCCUGACCCAACUACUGCCUUAACACCUCCAACCACGGCUCCAACUCCUUCUGCAGGCCUGGUUGUUGAUCAAUCACUGCCAUCAACCUCAAUACAAGUCAGGUUGGCUGAUGGAACCCGCUUGAUAUCACAUUUUAAUCAUCACCACGUGAUCAGUGACAUCCGUGCCUUCAUUGAUGCAUCUCGACCUGGUGGUCGGCAAAAUUAUCAACUUCAGAUGAUGGGUUUCCCCCCAAAGGUUCUAACCGAUGAAACUCAGAACAUAGAGCAGGCAGGACUUGCAAAUUCAGUUGUCAUACAGAAAUUCUAGCAGACUGCUGUUUCAUAUUGGCUCUUACCGGUUAAUUGCUGCAUUGAAAGGAUGCAGUUUUAUUGGGGGAUUGUAGAGGUGAGGUACUUUUAUUUCCAUAAAGUCAAAAACAUAUAGAACUGCCCUACUGUUGGGGGAACAUUUUCUUUUUGUUGCUCAAUGUUUACCAAGUAAUCUUAUUUGCUUUUUUUGUUUUGGACCUAAUUCUCUAUGCUAUGAUGAUUGUGGCGUGUCCUCUUUCUGGGCCUAGUGACUGAACUCGAGAUUAUAUUGAAAGACUUCACUGAAAUAUAUCGUAACCCCCGAAAGCAGUUUUUGAAAAUGUCGUAACGACUACCAUCUCUGUUUAUAUUAUAUUAUAUUUCUUCUGAAGCUAACAAACAGGUGUGGUUAUCUUACUAGAAAUUUGGAAAGAUUUUUAAAAUGUGGUUUUAAUUCUAAAUUGUGUAAACACUAAACCUAAAGGUGGAUGGAUAUAUAUAAUUGCACAAUAAUUUUUUUUUCAAUUGUUAAUAAUGUAUAUAAAUUUGUUAACGUUUUAAAAAUAACUUUGUUCCAAGUUUACCAACAAAAAUUUUAUAAAAAAUAUAAAAUUAUUUAAUCAUUACAUAUUCAUUGAAGUUUUUCUAUAUUUAUAUUAGUGCAUAUAAUUCAAUUUGAAUUAGAUUAUAUCAUAUUUAUAAAAUCAAAUUCAUAAAUCAAUUCAAUCAAACAAAGAAAAGUUCAAUUAUUUGUUCCAAGUUUACCAAUAAAAGAUUUAUAAAAAAUAUAAAAUUAUUUAAUCAUUACAUAUUCAUUGAAGUUUUUCUAUAUUUAUAUUAGUGCAUAUAAUUCAAUUUGAAUUAGAUUAUAUCAUAUUUAUAAAAUCAAAUUCAUAAAGAAAUGUUCAAUCAAUUACAUUAUAUUUAAAAAUGAUUUAUACUGUAAGAAAAAAUUCGUUACAGUACUCAUAAUUAAAAAGGUUUACAGUGAGUACUAACGAAUUAUAGUCUGAUUAAUAAUCAAUAGAUUAGAAAAUACAAAUAUAUUGAUGAUAUAAAAUGUUAUAUUUUUUCAUACAAAAAAUUACUUUUAAUUGACAUUUAAAACAGUUGUGAGCAAAAUAGAAUUACAUUUCUGCCUUGGGCUAUCUUAAAAGUCAGGGAUCAGAACUACUUGGCAGCAACGCAAAGACAAAGCUUUGUGUGUAUAACAUGCCUCAGUCUCAGUCUUCGUCUUAGAGCCACACCAUAUACUCCCAGAAACACACACACACACUCUCUCCCUUGCGAUUCGUUGUGUGAAAUAUUUGUAGGCAUGGCGUCACGGGACCACAAAAAGGCAUCGAGCAGCCGAACAGGCAGAAUUCGCACUCUCUCCGAUCUGAACCGUCCCUCUGCCGAUUCCGACAGCGACUCCGAUGGUCCUCAGGAGUACUACACCGGCGGGGAGAAGAGGUUCUCUUCUUUCCCGAUCCUUCUCCUCCUUUCUUCGUUCAUUAGCCUAACCCUCAAUUCUUGCAUUCUAUCACACCAACACAACAAAACUAAAAACUAUUAAUAAAGUUUUAUCGAUAUCACUAGCUUUAAUGUUAAGUCCCCAUCUUAGAAACUCUAGAAACUUCUUAAUAUCGCACUCUAUGUAUAAUAUAUUCCCUUACCGAUUAUUACUGUAAGAAUUAUUAGAGUUGACUUACAACAAGCUGGCGUAUUUCCAGUCAAUCAACUAGGUUAGAUUUUCGGAACAUUUUUUUAAUCGUGCAUGAUUGAAAUCAGAGUUGCAAUUUUUUCUGAUAUGUUUCGUUUUGUCUUCUGAAUUCUAAUGCGAUGGUUUGGCGAUGUUAUUGGUUGCCUUAGCUUGGUAUGAUUAUAGAUUGUGACUUUUUUUGUUUGUGUUGAUUGAUGAGUUUCUUCCCCGUUUCUCUUGUUUGGGUUAACUUCAUUGAUCGCAUACUGCUUUGAUAUUAAAGAGGAAGAUUUCUCUAACAGGAUUUAGUGAUUAGGUUUCAGCUCAGCACAUGUUUGUGUUACUUUUGAAAAUGCGGGUCAUUCUAAUUUAGGUUCCAUGUGUGUUUAGUUUGGUGUUUUGUAUUCUUGGAACCACGUUUGGGAUGUAAAAAAUGGAAUUUAUUCAAAGUAAUUUUCGUUUUGAAUAUGAAUCAUGGAUCCACUUUUGACUUAAUCCGAACCUGACGUGAAACCAUAAGUGCACUCAAUACAUAAGUAAUGAUAGGGGUUUUUAGGAAGUUAGAGGCCAGUGAAUGGUAAAAAACAGACAUGCAUUUAUUCUUUUGCCCUUUUACCAGUAUAAAGUGGUUUCAGAUUUUUGUAUAACUCAUUUGGGUGAAGCAUUUGGAAAACUUAUCUUAAGGCAUGAAUAAAAGCAAUAAAUCAUGCUUUUAGUGAGAGGUUUGUAACCUUUACAUUGAAGUUAUUUUGCUUAAAUUUGGGUUACUUUUUCUGGUAUAGGUUUUGGGCUUUUGAAAACCAUUCAGAUUCAUCUUAGCCAGUAAAAGAAUGGGGCAAGAAAAUGAAAAAAAAAAUCUGAUUUGUUUUAUCAUUUGGUGAUUUUUUUUUCCAAACAGGAAAUAUCUUUACUCUUCCCAGGUUUUAUGGCAAUGCUUCUGCAUUUUGAUAGCCUUUGAAGUCUAUAAUGAUUUGUUUAAACUUUAUAUCAUAACUUCUAGUGUUUCCAUGUGAUGAUUGCUAUCAAAUUAUAUAGCUUAGUAGCUUGAAAAUAUAGAUAGGGAUAGCUAUAUUUUUAGUAAUAUUGUUUUAUAGUAUGUAUUUUAUAUAUAUAUAUAUAUAUAUAUAUAUAUAUAUAUAUUCGCAUUUAAGCUGUGUUUGAAUGGAUAAUCAACCCAUUUUUAGAGUUUUUAAGGUAAUGAAGUGGAAUGGUUUAGGAUGGGAACCCAAACUACCUUACCACUCUUAACUUUCAAAUUUCCCUACUCUCUCAUUUAGAGGGUUUUGGAUGGAAUACUACUUUUUAUAUUUGGAGGCAGUUAUCCAUAAUUGUAAUUUACUCCACUCAAGUAAUUAUCACCUUUACUUCCAAACAAAGGUAAGGGGAUCCCCACCAUACCCUCAUUAAAAAAUUUCAAAUAGAGUGGUACCUUACAAAUAGAGUGCUUCAUCCUCUUCAAUAUUUCCAAACAUAGCUGUAAACUUAACUUCACCUGUAUGCUUCUAUAACCUCAAGCACCUUACAGACAGAAAUCACUUUUGACUACCUUCGUUGAAAGUGUGACAUUUGGAUAUUAAAAUUACCGCUUUCACAAUUUUCUGAAACAUUUAUUGAUGCACACAUCUGUCAUUUGAUUUUAUGAAAAAUUUCUACAAAGUAUUUAACCAUUCUGCAUUAUAUCUCCAGUGGAAUGCUUGUCCAGGAUCCUUCAAAGGGAAAUGACGUGGAUGCAAUUUUCAAUCAAGCUAGGCAACUGGGCGCUGUUGAAAGGCCUCUUGAUCAGCUUCAGGAGCCCCCAAGGUCAACUAGCUUUGCUGGAACUGGCAGGUUACUCUCAGGGGAAACUGCUGCACAGUCUACUACUAAUCAGCAACCCGAGUCUGUUGUUCACAACAUUGUUUUCUGGAGUAAUGGUUUCACUGUAAAUGAUGGACCUUUGAGGAGAUUGGAAGACCCUGAAAAUGCCUCAUUUUUAGAGGUGAUGGUAUUUAGGAUUCUGAUUCCUUCAUGGGUUGAGGGUAAAAUGAUUUGGAAGUAAUGAGGUUGUGUUCCAGAAAAUGCAAAUUCUGAUGUUAGAGGAUUUAGAUUUUGGUGGAUAAUGUUCAGGAAAUAAUGAAACACCGUAACAAAUUUCUCAUACAAUUCACCUUUUUAUUUUCAUUUUCAGAAAUCAAGCAUAUUUUAAGUAUUCUAUCAGUUGCUUUCAUAAUUUAAUGGCCAUGUAAGAAUGCUACCGCAGAGACAUGUUUGGGUUACUAUUACUUUCUUACUGGUUACAUAAAAUGGUUUCUUUGUGCUUAAUGAUAUUUGCUAUUUUCAAUGCAGAGCAUAAAAAAAUCUGAGUGUCCCAAAGAGCUUGAACCUGCAGAUAGGAGGUCAUCUGUUAAUGUUAACCUCAUAAGGAGGAACGAGAACUAUCCUGUAAGUUUCCUGUUAGUUUUUGUCCAAUUUACUAUUAAACCACAAUGAAUUUACUCUUGGAGCUUUUGAACUUCUGCAUUUUGAAAAGCAAUGCAAUCUUGUUGUACAUAAUUACUGGCUUCUGAAAUCGAAC
Molecule: long non-coding RNA, 5516 nt
Filed under: Phaseolus vulgaris (common bean)
Lineage: Eukaryota; Viridiplantae; Streptophyta; Magnoliopsida; Fabales; Fabaceae
Description: long non-coding RNA (PVUL_LNC002747)
Source: RNAcentral